ACGCAGGGGAGCUUGUAGGCAGGCUGAGAGGAAGUCAUCAACUUCGACCCUUAAACCUGAUUUGGAUAAUGCCAACGUAGGAAAGCAAAGUGAUU
Molecule: non-coding RNA, 95 nt
Filed under: uncultured Eubacterium sp.
Lineage: Bacteria; Bacillati; Bacillota; Clostridia; Eubacteriales; Eubacteriaceae
Description: TPP riboswitch (THI element)
Rfam family: TPP riboswitch aptamer (THI element) (bases 3-86)
About the family: Vitamin B(1) in its active form thiamin pyrophosphate (TPP) is an essential coenzyme that is synthesised by coupling of pyrimidine and thiazole moieties in bacteria. The previously detected thiamin-regulatory element, thi box was extended, resulting in a new, highly conserved RNA secondary structure, the THI element, which is widely distributed in eubacteria and also occurs in some archaea.
Source: RNAcentral